UGGUCUAGUGGUUAAGACUCGGCACCUUCACUGCUGCAACCAGGGUUCAAUCCCUG
RNAcentral lists this transfer RNA (56 nucleotides) under Sus scrofa (pig). It matches the Rfam family "tRNA", at positions 8 to 63 of the family's 71-position model. From Rfam's summary of the family: Transfer RNA (tRNA) molecules are approximately 80 nucleotides in length. Their secondary structure includes four short double-helical elements and three loops (D, anti-codon, and T loops). Further hydrogen bonds mediate the characteristic L-shaped molecular structure. tRNAs have two regions of fundamental functional importance: the anti-codon, which is responsible for specific mRNA codon recognition, and the 3' end, to which the tRNAs corresponding amino acid is attached (by aminoacyl-tRNA synthetases). tRNAs cope with the degeneracy of the genetic code in two manners: having more than one tRNA (with a specific anti-codon) for a particular amino acid; and 'wobble' base-pairing, i.e. permitting non-standard base-pairing at the 3rd anti-codon position. Lineage: Eukaryota; Metazoa; Chordata; Mammalia; Artiodactyla; Suidae. The record is from Rfam by way of RNAcentral.